GAUGAACGCUGGCGGCGUGCUUAACACAUGCAAGUCGAACGGAAAGGCCGAGCCUUGCUUCGGUACUCGAGUGGCGAACGGGUGAGUAACACGUGGGUGAUCUGCCCUGUACUUUGGGAUAAGUUCGGGAAACUGGGUCUAAUACCGGAUAUGACGAUCUCUUGGAUGGGGGGGUGGGGAGCGUUUGCGGUGUUGGAUGAGGACGCGGCGUAUCUGAGUUUUGGUGGGGUGUUGGCGCAUCAAGGCGUCGACGCGGGUCCGGCCUGAGAGGGUGUACGGCCACAUUUGGAGUGAGAGACGGCGCAGACUCCUACACGGGACAGCGGUGGGGAAUAUUGUGCAAUAGGGGCGAGACUCAGGUGGAGCAGCCGCGUGGGGGAUGACGGCGUCCGCGUGGUAUACUCCGUUCGCGAUCGACGAAGCCUGUUGGUGACGGUAGUUGGAGAAGAAGCACCGGCUAACUACGUG
RNAcentral lists this ribosomal RNA (468 nucleotides) under uncultured bacterium. Its description in RNAcentral is "partial 16S ribosomal RNA". It matches the Rfam family "Bacterial small subunit ribosomal RNA", at positions 28 to 507 of the family's 1533-position model. The record is from RNAcentral.